CUACGGGAGGCACCAGUAAGGAAUAUUGCGCAAUGGAGGCAACUCUGACGCAGCCAUGCCGCGUGCAGGAAGAAGGCCUUAUGGGUCGUAAACUGCUUUUAUUUAGGAAUAAACCCCCGAACGUGUUCGGGGCUGAAGGUACUAAACGAAUAAGCACCGGCUAACUCCGUGCCAGCAGCCGCGGUGAAUACGGAGGGUGCAAGCGUUAUCCGGAUUUAUUGGGUUUAAAGGGUGCGCAGGCGGGCUAUUAAGUCAGUGGUGAAAUCCCGGGGCUCAACUCCGGAACUGCCAUUGAUACUGAUAGUCUUGAGUUUGGUUGAAGUGGGCGGAAUGUAGCAUGUAGCGGUGAAAUGCAUAGAUAUGCUACAGAACACCAAUCGCGGAGGCAGCUCACUAAGCCAAAACUGACGCUCAUGCACGAAAGCGUGGGGAUCAAACAGGAUUAGAUACCCUAGUAGUC
Molecule: ribosomal RNA, 460 nt
Filed under: uncultured bacterium
Lineage: Bacteria
Description: partial 16S ribosomal RNA
Rfam family: Bacterial small subunit ribosomal RNA
Source: RNAcentral